UAAAUCUUGAUAUAACUAAUGGGCUAUCCCACCCAAUGUGAUGAGAAAUUUCAAUUGUAAAGGGAUAGAGAAAGUAAAGUUUAUUCUACAAAACCACAGUUACCUGUGACAAUAGAACCAUCCGUAAAAAGCUGAAAUGGAUAGGCCAUGUAAGUUCAAAGAGCACGCUAUCUCCAAGUCUGGUCUCCAUUGGAAUUUAUGCUUACUGUUCCUUGUAUUGAGCGGUGGUGGUGCUAAUUGUUGCAUGAGCUAACGGUGGUUGAUGCAUCGUGGUCAACUCAAUACUUUGCUUCUAGAGGUUUCAUAUUGCUACUAAAAGCUUUUGAAUGAGGGCAAUCUGGAUAAACGACAUCUAACAUGGCUCUAGAUGCAGCUGUUUUUCUCGGUUUGGCUUGCUUUGUAUUAUGCCAAGGCAAUGCGUCGAACAGAUUAAGUGCAUAAUAUUAAGCCUGAAAUAUGCGCUGGAAAAGAUUUCCUUAAUCAUCUACCAAAGAAUGUCCUCUCCCAAACAUUCUUCAACUAGACUGAUUUUAUAAUGAUUUGGGCACGACCAGUCUCCAAACGACAAAAUGGUAAUAAACCCACGAGCUCAUGGUGAAAAAUCGGUGGCAAGUGAUGACUAUACUGUUCCAAAAGGAUGAGAUCUUGAAUAUUGGUAAGAUAAUAAACAAAUGAUUAUGGCUCCUUUUUCUUUCAAUUUAGACUUUUGGAAAUUAAUAGAAGUCUG
RNAcentral lists this long non-coding RNA (727 nucleotides) under Olea europaea (common olive). RNAcentral describes it as "long non-coding RNA (OEUR_LNC000412)". The record is from RNAcentral. Lineage: Eukaryota; Viridiplantae; Streptophyta; Magnoliopsida; Lamiales; Oleaceae.